This 585-nucleotide ribosomal RNA is filed under the name uncultured bacterium. RNAcentral describes it as "partial 16S ribosomal RNA". It matches the Rfam family "Bacterial small subunit ribosomal RNA", at positions 355 to 1375 of the family's 1533-position model. The record is from RNAcentral.
UGGGGAAUUUUGGACAAUGGGCGAAAGCCUGAUCCAGCAAUGCCGCGUGUGUGAAGAAGGCCUUCGGGUUGUAAAGCACUUUUGUCCGGAAAGAAAUCCUUGGCUCUAAUACAGUCGGGGGAUGACGGUACCGGAAGAAUAAGCACCGGCUAACUACGUGCCAGCAGCCGCGGUAAUACGUAGGGUGCAAGCGUUAAUCGGAAUUACUGGGCGUAAAGCGUGCGCAGGCGGUUUGCUAAGACCGAUGUGAAAUCCCCGGGCUCAACCUGGGAACUGCAUUGGUGACUGGCAGGCUAGAGUAUGGCAGAGGGGGGUAGAAUUCCACGUGUAGCAGUGAAAUGCGUAGAGAUGUGGAGGAAUACCGAUGGCGAAGGCAGCCCCCUGGGCCAAAUACUGACGCUCAUGCACGAAAGCGUGGGGAGCAAACAGGAUUAGAUACCCUGGUAGUCCACGCCCUGAACGAUGUCAACUAGUUGUUGGGGAUUCAUUUCCUUAUAACGUAGCUAACGCGUGAAGUUGACCGCCUGGGGAGUACGGUCGCAAGAUUAAAACUCAAAUGAAUUGACGGGGUCAUAGCUGUUUCCU